RNAcentral lists this ribosomal RNA (440 nucleotides) under uncultured bacterium. RNAcentral's name for it is "partial 16S ribosomal RNA". It matches the Rfam family "Bacterial small subunit ribosomal RNA", at positions 338 to 795 of the family's 1533-position model. The record is from RNAcentral.
CCUACGGGUGGCAGCAGUCGGGAAUAUUUCUCAAUGGGGGAAACCCUGAUGCAGCGACGCCGCGUGGAGGAUGGAAGUUUUCGGAUUGUAAACUCCUUUUGUUAGAGAAGAUAAUGACGGUAUCUAACGAAUAAGCACCGGCUAACUCCGUGCCUGCAGCCGCGGUAAUACGGAGGGUGCUAGCGUUACUCGGAAUCACUGGGCGUAAAGAGCGCGUAGGCGGGAUAGCAAGUCAGAUGUGAAAUGCUAUGGCUUAACCAUAGAACUGCAUAUGAAACUGUUAUUCUAGAGUAUGGGAGGGGUAGGUGGAAUUCUUGGUGUAGGGGUAAAAUCCGUAGAGAUCGAGAGGAAUACUCAUUGCGAAGGCGAGCUGCUAGAACAUAACUGACGCUGAUGCGCGAAAGCGUGGGGAGCAAACGGGAUUAGAUACCCGUGUAGUC